GAUGAACGCUGGCGGCGUGCCUAAUACAUGCAAGUCGAGCGAACAGAUGAGGAGCUUGCUCCUCUGACGUUAGCGGCGGACGGGUGAGUAACACGUGGAUAACCUACCUAUAAGACUGGGAUAACUUCGGGAAACCGGAGCUAAUACCGGAUAAUAUAUUGAACCGCAUGGUUCAAUAGUGAAAGACGGUUUUGCUGUCACUUAUAGAUGGAUCCGCGCCGCAUUAGCUAGUUGGUAAGGUAACGGCUUACCAAGGCAACGAUGCGUAGCCGACCUGAGAGGUUGUUCGGCCCCCUUGAAACUAGGCAAGGGCCCGGACCCUACGGGAGGCAGCAGUAGGGAAUCUUCCGCAAUGGGCGAAAGCUUGACGGAGCAACGCCGCGUGAGUGAUGAAGGUCUUCGGAUCGUAAAACUCUGUUAUUAGGGAAGAACAAAUGUGUAAGUAACUAUGCACGUCUUGACGGUACCUAAUCAGAAAGCCACGGCUAACUACGUG
RNAcentral lists this ribosomal RNA (496 nucleotides) under uncultured bacterium. RNAcentral describes it as "partial 16S ribosomal RNA". It matches the Rfam family "Bacterial small subunit ribosomal RNA", at positions 28 to 507 of the family's 1533-position model. The record is from RNAcentral.